RNAcentral lists this ribosomal RNA (443 nucleotides) under uncultured bacterium. Its description in RNAcentral is "partial 16S ribosomal RNA". It matches the Rfam family "Bacterial small subunit ribosomal RNA", at positions 338 to 795 of the family's 1533-position model. The record is from RNAcentral.
CCUACGGGUGGCAGCAGUGGGGAAUAUUGGGCAAUGGGCGCAAGCCUGACCCAGCAACGCAGCGUGAAGGAAGAAGGCUUUCGGGUUGUAAACUUCUUUUCUCAGGGACGAAGCAAGUGACGGUACCUGAGGAAUAAGCCACGGCUAACUACGUGCCAGCAGCCGCGGUAAUACGGAGGUGGCAAGCGUUAUCCGGAUUUACUGGGUGUAAAGGGCGUGUAGGCGGGAAAGCAAGUCAGAUGUGAAAACUAUGGGCUCAACCUGUAGCCUGCAUUUGAAACUGGUUGUCUUGAGUACAGGUGAGGCAGACGGAAUUCCUAGUGUAGCGGUGAAAUGCGUAGAUAUUAGGAGGAACACCAGUUGCGAAGGCGGUUUGCUAGACAGCAACUGACGCUGAGGCGCGAAAGUGUGGGUAUCAAACAGGAUUAGAUACCCUAGUAGUC